This 423-nucleotide ribosomal RNA is filed under the name uncultured bacterium. RNAcentral's name for it is "partial 16S ribosomal RNA". It matches the Rfam family "Bacterial small subunit ribosomal RNA", at positions 360 to 776 of the family's 1533-position model. The record is from RNAcentral.
AAUUUUGUACAAUGGGGGAAACCCUGAUCCAGCCAUCCCGCGAGUGCUAUGUAGUGCUUCGGUUUGUAAGCACUUUUGUCUGGGAAGAAAAGGUUCUGUCUAUUACCCGGAACUGAUGACGGUACCUGAAGCAUAAGCACCCGCUAACUACGUGCCAGCAUCCGCGGCAAUACGUAGGGUGCAAGCUUUAAUCGGAAUUACUGGGCGUAAAGAGUGCGCAGGCGGUUCGGAAAGAAGGAUGUGAAAUCCCAGGGCUCAACCUUGGAACUGCAUUCUUAACUACCGAACUAGAGUAUGUCAGAGGGGGGUAGAAUUCCGCGUGUAGCAGUGAAAGGCGUAGAUAUGCGGAGGAAUACAGAUGGCGAAGGCAGCCCCCUGGGAUAAUACUGACGCUCAUGCACGAAAGCGUGGGUAGCAAACAGG